This 587-nucleotide ribosomal RNA is filed under the name uncultured bacterium. RNAcentral's name for it is "partial 16S ribosomal RNA". It matches the Rfam family "Bacterial small subunit ribosomal RNA", at positions 355 to 1375 of the family's 1533-position model. The record is from RNAcentral.
UGGGGAAUUUUGGACAAUGGGCGAAAGCCUGAUCCAGCAAUGCCGCGUGUGUGAAGAAGGCCUUCGGGUUGUAAAGCACUUUUGUCCGGAAAGAAAUCCUUGGCUCUAAUACAGUCGGGGGAUGACGGUACCGGAAGAAUAAGCACCGGCUAACUACGUGCCAGCAGCCGCGGUAAUACGUAGGGUGCAAGCGUUAAUCGGAAUUACUGGGCGUAAAGCGUGCGCAGGCGGUUUGCUAAGACCGAUGUGAAAUCCCCGGGCUCAACCUGGGAACUGCAUUGGUGACUGGCAGGCUAGAGUAUGGCAGAGGGGGGUAGAAUUCCACGUGUAGCAGUGAAAUGCGUAGAGAUGUGGAGGAAUACCGAUGGCGAAGGCAGCCCCCUGGGCCAAUACUGACGCUCAUGCACGAAAGCGUGGGGGAGCAAACAGGAUUAGAUACCCUGGUAGUCCACGCCCUAAACGAUGUCAACUAGUUGUUGGGGGAUUCAUUUCCUUAGUAACGUAGCUAACGCGUGAAGUUGACCGCCUGGGGAGUACGGUCGCAAGAUUAAAACUUAAAGGAAUUGACGGGGUCAUAGCUGUUUCCU